GAGACAGAACCGGGCCUUACGGGCGGCAGCAGGCGGCGAAAACUUCGCAAUGCCGGAAAGCGGGACGAGGGGAACCGAGUGCCUCUUCAUUUCGGGGAGGCUUUCACAAGCCUAAAAAGCUUGUGGAAUAAGGGCUGGGCAAGACGGGUGCCAGCCGCCGCGGUAAUACCCGCAGCUCGAGUGGUGGUCGCUUUUAUUGAGAUAAACGUUCGUAGUCGGCGUGUAAAUCCCUGGGUAAAUGGGGCCGCUUAACGGUUCAAAUUCCGGGGAGACUGCAAGGCUAGGGACCGGGCGAGGUCAGAGGUACUUUCGGGGUAGGAGUGAAAUCCUGUAAUCCCGAAGGGACCACCUGUGGCGAAAGCGUCUGACUUGAACGGCUCCGACGAUGAGGAACGAAGGCUAGGGGAGCAAACCGGAUUAGAUACCCGGGUAGUCCUAGCUGUAAACUCUGCCCGCUUGGUGUGGCCUGUCCUUCGGGGGCAGGCCGUGCCGGAGCGAAGGUGUUAAGCGGGCUGCUUGGGGAGUACGGCCGCAAGGUUGAAACUUAAAGGAAUUGGCGGGGGAGCACCGCAACGGGAGGAUGCGUGCGGUUUAAUUGGAUUCAACGCCGGAAAACUCACCUGAGGAGACCAGCGUAUGUGGGUCAAGCCGAAGACUUUACCCGAACAACAGCUGGAGAGGUGGUGCAUGGCCAUCGUCAGCUCGUACCGUAGGGCAUUCACUUAAGUGUGAUAACGAGCGAGACCCCCAUCCCUAGUUGCUAACCCCUCCGAAAGGAGGGGUGCACUCUAGGGAGACCGCUUCCGCUAAGGAAGAGGAAGGAGGGGUCGACGGUAGGUCAGUAUGCCCCGAAUCCUCAGGGCAACACGCGCGCUACAAAGGACAGGACAAUGGGUUCCAACCCCGAAAGGGGAAGGUAAUCCCGAAACCUGUUCGUAGU
RNAcentral lists this ribosomal RNA (940 nucleotides) under uncultured archaeon. RNAcentral's name for it is "bacterial SSU rRNA". It matches the Rfam family "Archaeal small subunit ribosomal RNA", at positions 305 to 1248 of the family's 1478-position model. The record is from RNAcentral.